CAGCACCUACGGGAGGCAGCAGUGGGGAAUAUUGCACAAUGGGGGAAACCCUGAUGCAGCAACGCCGCGUGAGUGAAGAAGGUUUUCGGAUUGUAAAGCUCUGUUAGCAGGGAAGAGGAAGGACGGUACCUGCAGAGGAAGCCACGGCUAACUACGUGCCAGCAGCCGCGGUAAUACGUAGGUGGCAAGCGUUGUUCGGAAUAACUGGACGUAAAGGAUGCGCAGGCGGAUAAAC
This 235-nucleotide ribosomal RNA is filed under the name uncultured bacterium. RNAcentral describes it as "partial 16S ribosomal RNA". It matches the Rfam family "Bacterial small subunit ribosomal RNA", at positions 333 to 584 of the family's 1533-position model. The record is from RNAcentral.